UGUCUGGUGGUGGAAAGUUUUUUCGGUUGGGGAUGGGCUCGCGGCCUUCAGUUUGUGGUGGUGAGGUAAUGGCUCCCAAGACGACGACGGGUAGCCGGCUGAGAGGGNNNACCGGCCCCACUGGGACUGAGACACGGCCCAGACUCCUACGGGAGGCAGCAGUGGGGAAUAUUGCACAAUGGGGGAAACCCUGAUGCAGCGACGCAGCGUGCGGGAUGACGGCCUUCGGGUUGUAAACCGCUUUCAGCAGGGAAGAAGCCUCACGGUGACGGUACCUGCAGAAGAAGUACCGGCUAACUACGUGCCAGCAGCCGCGGUAAUACGUAGGGUACGAGCGUUGUCCGGAAUUAUUGGGCGUAAAGAGCUCGUAGGUGGUUGGUCACGUCUGCUGUGGAAACGCAACGCUUAACGUUGCGCGUGCAGUGGGUACGGGCUGACUAGAGUGCAGUAGGGGAGUCUGGAAUUCCUGGUGUAGCGGUGAAAUGCGCAGAUAUCAGGAGGAACACCGGUGGCGAAGGCGGGACUCUGGGCUGUAACUGACACUGAGGAGCGAAAGCAUGGGGAGCGAACAGGAUUAGAUACCCUGGUAGUCCAUGCCGUAAACGUUGGGCACUAGGUGUGGGGGGCAUUCCACGUUCUCCGCGCCGUAGCUAACGCAUUAAGUGCCCCGCCUGGGGAGUACGGUCGCAAGGCUAAAACUCAAAGGAAUUGACGGGGGCCCGCACAAGCGGCGGAGCAUGCGGAUUAAUUCGAUGCAACGCGAAGAACCUUACCAAGGCUUGACAUACACCAGACCGUCCUGGAAACAGGUCCUCUUCUUUGAAGCUGGUGUACAGGUGGUGCAUGGUUGUCGUCAGCUCGUGUCGUGAGAUGUUGGGUUAAGUCCCGCAACGAGCGCAACCCUCGUUCUAUGUUGCCAGCNACGUGAUGGUGGGAACUCAUAGGAGACUGCCGGGGUCAACUCGGAGGAAGGUGGGGAUGACGUCAAAUCAUCAUGCCCUUUAUGUCUUGGGCUUCACGCAUGCUACAAUGGCUGGUACAGAGAGAGGCGAACCCGUGAGGGCAAGCGAAUCCCUUAAAGCCAGUCUCAGUUCGGAUCGUAGUCUGCAAUUCGACUACGUGAAGUCGGAGUCGCUA
RNAcentral lists this ribosomal RNA (1137 nucleotides) under Brevibacterium sp. RNAcentral describes it as "bacterial SSU rRNA". It matches the Rfam family "Bacterial small subunit ribosomal RNA", at positions 190 to 1337 of the family's 1533-position model. The record is from RNAcentral. Lineage: Bacteria; Bacillati; Actinomycetota; Actinomycetes; Micrococcales; Brevibacteriaceae.